AGUGAACGCUGGCGGUAGGCCUAACACAUGCAAGUCGAACGGCAGCACAGUAAGAGCUUGCUCUUACGGGGGGCGAGUGGCGGACGGGUGAGGAAUAUAUCGGAAUCUACUUUUUCGUGGGGGAUAACGUAGGGAAACUUACGCUAAUACCGCAUACGACCUACGGGGGAAAGCAGGGGAACUUCGGACCUUGCGCGAUUGAAUGAGCCGAUGUCGGAUUAGCUAGUUGGCGGGGUAAAGGCCCACGAAGGCGAGGAUCCGUAGCUGGUCUGAGAGGAUGAUCAGCGACCGUGGAGGUGGGCCACGGUCCAUACUCCUACGGUACGCCCCAGUCGCCAACAUUGGACAACGGGGGGGAGCAUUACCCAACCAUCCCGAGUGUGUGGAGAAGGCCUCGGGUUUGUAAAGACGUUUUGUUGGGAAAGAACAGCAUCCGGUUAAUACCCAGCUGUUCUGACGGUACCCAAAGAAUAAGCACCGGCUAACUUCGUG
Molecule: ribosomal RNA, 492 nt
Filed under: uncultured bacterium
Lineage: Bacteria
Description: partial 16S ribosomal RNA
Rfam family: Bacterial small subunit ribosomal RNA
Source: RNAcentral